This 691-nucleotide long non-coding RNA is filed under the name Nicotiana benthamiana. Its description in RNAcentral is "long non-coding RNA (NBEN_LNC002654)". The record is from RNAcentral. Lineage: Eukaryota; Viridiplantae; Streptophyta; Magnoliopsida; Solanales; Solanaceae.
GCUCUAUGAUUGUUGACGAAGUGUGAGGCUGUCAUACAAUUGCCCUUGAUUUUCAUGAAUAGGUCCUGUUUAUUCUGUUACGGUUAAACCAGAAUUGAGCUUAGCAACCUUCUGUGAUGUCUCAUGUUCGUCUUCGACUCAAUUUGUUUAGUUUUAAAGUUCUGUAGUUCCACGGAUCUAAUCGUCCAGUUAAGAGGUUUAAUAAGCUGCUAAUGAGUUCGUUCAUGGUUUUGAUGGAUGUUCGGUGACCUCCCUUUCAAUUCCGAUUCAUUUGGUCGUCGAUUUGUCGUCGGCACAAGGUUCAGUUCGAGUUCUGUCGUGUUCGUAUUCCCGUUAGCUUCUUGCUCGCUGCUCAAUUAAAGGUUUGCGAUUUGCUAGAGAAAGAGGAAAAAAUGAAAAUGCUGAAUUUCACGUCAUGGAGGUCCAGUACAUCCAGGCAGAGAUUGUUUCGCUGAUUUGAUCAUGUUCUGUUUAUUCUUUGUGAAUGAGGUAUGUGUACACACCCCUGUUACUCUGUUUAAAUUUCAUAUGGAAAAGCCAAUCUGUUCAUCUUUUAAUUGGGUUCAAAUGUAUAGAUCUAUCGUGUGUAUCUGCUGGUUUGUUUCGAAUUGCCCUUUCUUUUAGACUACAGAAUUGUUGAUCCUCUAAUUGUAUUCGUGUCUUGGUUGCAGUUAAUUCCACACUCAUCAAC